RNAcentral lists this ribosomal RNA (256 nucleotides) under uncultured bacterium. RNAcentral's name for it is "partial 16S ribosomal RNA". It matches the Rfam family "Bacterial small subunit ribosomal RNA", at positions 524 to 776 of the family's 1533-position model. The record is from RNAcentral.
UACGUAGGGUGCAAGCGUUGUCCGGAAUUAUUGGGCGUAAAGAGCUCGUAGGCGGUCUGUCGCGUCUGCUGUGAAAACUCAGGGCUUAACCCUGAGCUUGCAGUGGGUACGGGCAGACUAGAGUGCGGUAGGGGAGACUGGAAUUCCUGGUGUAGCGGUGAAAUGCGCAGAUAUCAGGAGGAACACCGGUGGCGAAGGCGGGUCUCUGGGCCGUAACUGACGCCUGGAGGAGCGGAAAGCAUGGGGAGCGAACAGG